AGUCAGGAGAAGGAGCCUGCAAGGAAGAAUUGCCCAGGGGUGCAGUGACUGCCUGAUAUGAUGCAUACAGGGCUAACAAGGCUCCAGGAGCUCAACAGAGUUGUCGGAUGGCAGAAGCAAGAACACGAGAAGCCUAAGGAGAAGGAUAUGGGGUGACAAAGAGUGAAGACCCACCCUGUUUGCUGAAGGAAAAUAAAGACUAUGGUGUGCUACUUGAAAAAAACCAUGACAGGUCAUGGAGUAUGUACGCAAACUAAAAACUAAGCCAUGGGGACAGGAGCUCUGCUAAAAUGGCUGGAGGGGCUGCAUAAACAGUUCCAGAAAGUCCAAAUCCAGCAGCACCAGUUCCUGACAGAACAGCAGCAGCAAAUGCAGCAGUUCCAGAGAGAACAGCAACAGCAGGAGUUCCUGUAGAAACAACUGGAUAUCAGAUGGAUCCCCAUCUAUGCUGAGGUGGGGCAGAAGAACCCAGACUCAAGAAGAUAUGUGAUCCCAGUCCAAGUUGGGGACACCAUUUCAGACCAGACUAUGGUGUGCUACUGGACAACCCACUGUAUCAAUAUAACACCAUCCUCAAAAAGGGCUCCAGAGGUGAUGCCGGGAACUACAGACCAGCAAGUCUGAGUUGCAUCCCUUGCAAUUUGGUAGAAUCAGCAGUCAUGUGCACAAAUAUGAUCUGCUGGGG
Molecule: long non-coding RNA, 685 nt
Organism: Alligator sinensis (Chinese alligator)
Lineage: Eukaryota; Metazoa; Chordata; Crocodylia; Alligatoridae
Exons: 4
Source: RefSeq, a predicted model, not a curated record